UACGAAGGGGGGCUAGCGUUGCUCGGAAUUACUGGGCGUAAAGCGCGCGCCAGGCGGUCUUCCAAGUCAGUGGUGAAAGCCCGGAGCUCAACUCCGGAAUUGCCAUUGAAACUGUGAGACUGGAGUACGAGAGAGGUGAGUGGAAUUCCCCAGUGUAGAGGUGAAAUUCGUAGAUAUUGGGAAGAACACCGGUGGCGAAGGCGGCUCACUGGCUCGUAACUGACGCUCAGGCGCGACAGCGUGGGGAUCAAACAGG
Molecule: ribosomal RNA, 256 nt
Filed under: uncultured bacterium
Lineage: Bacteria
Description: partial 16S ribosomal RNA
Rfam family: Bacterial small subunit ribosomal RNA
Source: RNAcentral